GGUUAAGUUAGAAAGGGCGCACGGUGGAUGCCUUGGCACUAGGAGCCGAUGAAGGACGGGACGAACACCGAUAUGCUUCGGGGAGCUGUAAGCAAGCUUUGAUCCGGAGAUUUCCGAAUGGGGAAACCCACCACUCGUAAUGGAGUGGUAUCCAUAUCUGAAUUCAUAGGAUAUGAGAAGGCAGACCCGGGGAACUGAAACAUCUAAGUACCCGGAGGAAGAGAAAGCAAAUGCGAUUCCCUGAGUAGCGGCGAGCGAAACGGGAUUAGCCCAAACCAAGAGGCUUGCCUCUUGGGGUUGUAGGACACUCUGUACGGAGUUACAAAAGAACGAGGUAGAUGAAGAGGUCUGGAAAGGCCCGCCAUAGGAGGUAACAGCCCUGUAGUCAAAACUUCGUUCUCUCCUGAGUGGAUCCUGAGUACGGCGGAACACGUGAAAUUCCGUCGGAAUCCGGGAGGACCAUCUCCCAAGGCUAAAUACUCCCUAGUGACCGAUAGUGAACCAGUACCGUGAGGGAAAGGUGAAAAGCACCCCGGAAGGGGAGUGAAAGAGAUCCUGAAACCGUGUGCCUACAAGUAGUCAGAGCCCGUUAACGGGUGAUGGCGUGCCUUUUGUAGAAUGAACCGGCGAGUUACGAUCCCGUGCAAGGUUAAGCAGAAGAUGCGGAGCCGCAGCGAAAGCGAGUCUGAAUAGGGCGCAUGAGUACGUGGUCGUAGACCCGAAACCAGGUGAUCUACCCAUGUCCAGGGUGAAGUUCAGGUAACACUGAAUGGAGGCCCGAACCCACGCACGUUGAAAAGUGCGGGGAUGAGGUGUGGGUAGGGGUGAAAUGCCAAUCGAACCUGGAGAUAGCUGGUUCUCUCCGAAAUAGCUUUAGGGCUAGCCUCAAGGUAAGAGUCUUGGAGGUAGAGCACUGAUUGGACUAGGGGCCCCUACCGGGUUACCGAAUUCAGUCAAACUCCGAAUGCCAAUGACUUAUCCUUGGGAGUCAGACUGCGAGUGAUAAGAUCCGUAGUCGAAAGGGAAACAGCCCAGACCGCCAGCUAAGGUCCCAAAGUAUACGUUAAGUGGAAAAGGAUGUGGAGUUGCUUAGACAACCAGGAUGUUGGCUUAGAAGCAGCCACCAUUUAAAGAGUGCGUAAUAGCUCACUGGUCGAGUGACUCUGCGCCGAAAAUGUACCGGGGCUAAACGUAUCACCGAAGCUGCGGACUGUUCUUCGAACAGUGGUAGGAGAGCGUUCUAAGGGCUGUGAAGCCAGACCGGAAGGACUGGUGGAGCGCUUAGAAGUGAGAAUGCCGGUAUGAGUAGCGAAAGAGGGGUGAGAAUCCCCUCCACCGAAUGCCUAAGGUUUCCUGAGGAAGGCUCGUCCGCUCAGGGUUAGUCGGGACCUAAGCCGAGGCCGAAAGGCGUAGGCGAUGGACAACAGGUUGAUAUUCCUGUACCACCUCCUCACCAUUUGAGUAAUGGGGGGACGCAGGAGGAUAGGGUAAGCGCGGUANNAAGGCUGAGCUGUGAUGGCGAGCGAAAUAUAGUAGCGAAGUUCCUGAUUCCACACUGCCAAGAAAAGCCUCUAGCGAGGUGAGAGGUGCCCGUACCGCAAACCGACACAGGUAGGCGAGGAGAGAAUCCUAAGGUGAUCGAGAGAACUCUCGUUAAGGAACUCGGCAAAAUGACCCCGUAACUUCGGGAGAAGGGGUGCUCUGUUAGGGUGCAAGCCCGAGAGAGCCGCAGUGAAUAGGCCCAGGCGACUGUUUAGCAAAAACACAGGUCUCUGCGAAGCCGUAAGGCGAAGUAUAGGGGCUGACGCCUGCCCGGUGCUGGAAGGUUAAGAGGAGCGCUUAGCGUAAGCGAAGGUGCGAAUUGAAGCCCCAGUAAACGGCGGCCGUAACUAUAACGGUCCUAAGGUAGCGAAAUUCCUUGUCGGGUAAGUUCCGACCCGCACGAAAGGCGCAACGAUCUGGGCACUGUCUCAACGAGAGACUCGGUGAAAUUAUAGUACCUGUGAAGAUGCAGGUUACCCGCGACAGGACGGAAAGACCCCGUGGAGCUUUACUGCAGCCUGAUAUUGAAUGUUGGUACAGCUUGUACAGGAUAGGUAGGAGCCUUGGAAACCGGAGCGCCAGCUUCGGUGGAGGCAUCGGUGGGAUACUACCCUGGCUGUAUUGACCUUCUAACCCGCCGCCCUUAUCGGGCGGGGAGACAGUGUCAGGUGGGCAGUUUGACUGGGGCGGUCGCCUCCUAAAAGGUAACGGAGGCGCCCAAAGGUUCCCUCAGAAUGGUUGGAAAUCAUUCGCAGAGUGUAAAGGCACAAGGGAGCUUGACUGCGAGACCUACAAGUCGAGCAGGGACGAAAGUCGGGCUUAGUGAUCCGGUGGUUCCGCAUGGAAGGGCCAUCGCUCAACGGAUAAAAGCUACCCCGGGGAUAACAGGCUUAUCUCCCCCAAGAGUCCACAUCGACGGGGAGGUUUGGCACCUCGAUGUCGGCUCAUCGCAUCCUGGGGCUGUAGUCGGUCCCAAGGGUUGGGCUGUUCGCCCAUUAAAGCGGUACGCGAGCUGGGUUCAGAACGUCGUGAGACAGUUCGGUCCCUAUCCGUCGCGGGCGCAGGAAAUUUGAGAGGAGCUGUCCUUAGUACGAGAGGACCGGGAUGGACGCACCGCUGGUGUACCAGUUGUUCUGCCAAGGGCAUCGCUGGGUAGCUAUGUGCGGACGGGAUAAGUGCUGAAAGCAUCUAAGCAUGAAGCCCCCCUCAAGAUGAGAUUUCCCAUUCCGCAAGGAAGUAAGAUCCCUGAAAGAUGAUCAGGUUGAUAGGUCUGAGGUGGAAGUGUGGCGACACAUGGAGCUGACAGAUACUAAUCGAUCGAGGACUUAACCAC
This 2875-nucleotide ribosomal RNA is filed under the name Bacillus inaquosorum. RNAcentral describes it as "23S ribosomal RNA". It matches the Rfam family "Bacterial large subunit ribosomal RNA". The record is from RNAcentral. Lineage: Bacteria; Bacillati; Bacillota; Bacilli; Caryophanales; Bacillaceae.